GGUCUUGUUCAAAGCGUACUCUCUAAGUAUAUUCAUGAGUAUUAAAAAUUGCCCUUUGAGACGCAACUCUGACUGCAUUGUCUCUGUUGUGCAAUGAGUGGGCAGACAGUAAGUAACUGGCUCACGAUAGCUCAGUUGCCACUGUUUAGUGGGCUUUGGGUAUGGAACCGGGCCAGAUACUUGGACUCAGUUUGCCCAAAUUUGGCAAACUGCUGCCAUUUAUGUCAUUUGAAUCGUCAUUUUCAAACAUGUGCUAUUAUUCUAGUGUGUAAUACAUCAUUAAGUGAGACAGGAGGGAGGACGACAAUGCAGUUAAUUAGAAGUAAACACUGAGCAUCUGAUUCUUCUCUGCUAAUGAAGGUCUUCAUCACAUAGACGUCUGCGAUCUACCUUUGAUGGAGCAGGUGAACCUGUGCAGCAGCAGAGUAGCCCGGCGAAGUUAAGCACCCCAGGCUUGACAUUUGAAGACAUCUGCAGGUACGUAAGCUUUGAAGAAAUGCUGGAAAGUGAGCGUUUUUCAUCCCUACACCUUGAAACAAAUGCGUCACCACAUUCAAGAGAGUAAAACUUUGUGAACUUUGCCUUUGAACACCGACAUGCUGACAUCCCUUGAUUUAUAUGAGCCAUCAUUAAAUUAAAUCAGCAUUAAAAAUGAGCAAUCCUGCCAAGAGGGUCACAGACAUAAUUGCUUACAAGGCAUUUGGAGUCAUUCAGUUGCUGCUUGGAUUCCAUACACAAAAGCUGCACAUUCACUUAACUACUUUUGUUAUUUGGGUGAUUCCAGAGACUUUCAAAAAAUAAACAUUAUUAUUAUUAUUAUUAUAUGAAAAUGAUCUGAUCUUGGGAGCCUUUGUCUUCACCAUGUCCUCAGGAAGGCAGUUAAAAUAUAUAAACUGUCUAUAACAUUUAGAAACUUAUUCAUGAGCAGAAAAUACAACCAUACACUUUGGCAACUAGUGGGCUUAAAUGGUAGAUAGGCUACAUCAGACUGUAGCAUUUAAUGUUUAAUAUUGUACAUUUUACAAGUAAAAUGAAUAAACACAUCAAGAUGA
Molecule: long non-coding RNA, 1052 nt
Organism: Scatophagus argus
Lineage: Eukaryota; Metazoa; Chordata; Actinopteri; Scatophagidae
Exons: 2
Source: RefSeq, a predicted model, not a curated record